Non-coding RNA from Taeniopygia guttata (zebra finch), 4487 nucleotides. Lineage: Eukaryota; Metazoa; Chordata; Aves; Passeriformes; Estrildidae. The record is from RefSeq and is a predicted model, not a curated record.
GGGAUGCGCCUGAGGGUUUUGCUUGAGUUGUGAACUGAUUUGGAAGAGAGCAGAAAUAUUUCAGUAGGCAAUCUGUGUUUUCUUCCUUAAUUUCUCAAAGAAAGUCACAAUGUGUUGCACACAGGUAGGGGUAUUGUCAAAGAAAGGCCUUAUAAAAUCAGGCCUUACUCUCCUAAAAAUGAGCAGCUGGCCUGUUAUGUCUUCUACGUACAGCUAGCUAAAUUCCCAUGUGAAAAAUCAUGACUGCAGUUAGCACAACAAGCUCUUGUGGUAAGAAAACUGCAUCUGUAAUAAUCAGGAAAUCUGUCCAAUGGGAGUCCACAAAGGAAAAUUGUAAACACCUGAGUAAAAGAGAGAGUCUUAGCAAGUCCACACAAAAACACCUUCUAAGCAGUGAAUUGUGUGGACAAGAAAAGAACCAGGCAAUUGGAAUUAAACAUGAGGUCUGUGGAAACGGUAUAAAAAUUAGUUUUGUGAAUAAAAAAUUGGCUUUCUAUGCAUGAAAAAACUGAGUCCCAGCUGCUGUAUUGACACAGCCAUGUGGCUUCACUCAGCAAGAGCACUUGAAGGGUGUAUUGAUGAAAUGCUUGUGUUGAUUCCCAGAACAGCAAGGAGAAAUGUUAAGUGUAUUCAAUAGGGCUUAAGCUUGUGAAUCCCUUUAGCUUUAACAGGCAGUGCUGAACCCUGUAUUGCCCCACUGCAGUGCCUAAUGUGUGCAAGUGCUAUUUUAGCCUUGAGAAUAAAGAGAGUGGUCCUGCUAAGAAGGUAGCUGGAAUGCAUUCAAAGGGAAGAUAUGUUUUUAAGAGGCUCUUGACCAGCAAAGGAGAAUUUGAGGAAUGGAAUAGUUCCCAAAUGACUGUGUCAGGAACCAGAGUCAUGUCCAAGGCUCUGCCAUAUUUGAUCCGUGUUUGAGCAGGUUGACAAGACAAUGAAGAAAAGUGUAUUGUUUAAUGGGUGGGAACAGGACCCUUGAAAGAGAAACAAUGUAUGGGUCAAUCGGUGGGCAGUUAAGGUUUGAAAGGGGAGCAAUGCAUAAUGGAGCCUUGUUGGCAUGGCCUUGGUAUCUGGAGCCAUCCUGGCCUCAUCUCACAUGCCAGCCAUGUGUGAGCUGAUGCUGUAACUGGGAAAAUUCCACUCCUGAGCAGGAGGUAUAAGGCCUGGCUCUGGGCUGGAGGGGUGAGAAGGAUGACGUGCACACCGUUUUGAUCCAGGGCAUGUCCUGGAAGUGCACUGCCUACCUGCCCCUGUCGCCGAGCACCACACUCCAUCUCCUUCUCCUGCUCAGCGGAUUUUUGGGAAUCCAGGGGUUGGUAUUAUUUGCUACUGCAACUAAUGGAAUACAUUUGCUUGGCAAGCCCAGUUGUGUCUUAGAUUCUUUUGUGCAUGAGUCUCCUCCUGAACCUGUGGCAAUGACCACCAGGGACCUACAGGAUACUUCUACUCUGAUGUCAAUAAAUUCUGAGAAAUUAUUUAAAUAUGUCAAAUAAUUUGGAGUAAUGUUUAGCCUGUGAAUUUCAGCAAAGUAUUGAAUAUGUCUUAGUUCCAUGGAUACAAACUAAUAAGUGAGAUUGCUGGGUGUGCAGGUGUUAGGGGAGUGAUUCCCUAUGCACCGAGUACUGAAAUAAACAAAUGCCUCCUUUCCAAUCCUGAGCUGGCAGCAGGGAACAGGCCCUGCUCUGUAACUUUCAUUUUGGCAACUUCUGUGAACAGGUAAGAAAGGUCAAAAUGAAACCUCUCCCAGCUAUUUGCCUCUGCUUUAUCUUUUUAGGUGCCAGAACUCUGUGUCACAGAUGGCCUGGCUGUGUGCUGAGCAAUGCAGCCCCCACAAAGCCUUUGGUUUCCCCACAAGUUGCCAUGCCUUGUUCCCAGGUGUGCCCAGCUCUGGCAGGAGAAAGAGCCUGCAGCGCCGUGCCCUGCCCAGCCGGGGCUCUCUGGCACAGAGCAGCAGCAGCGCCAGCACCUCUCAAUCCGCUCUUUCCUUAUCUUCUCCUGGGACACAGAAGCCUCUGGAAAUCAGCACCACCAGUCGUGUUCCCAGCUCGGAGCAGCUCCUGCUGGUGGGCAGGUGCUGCCAGUUUGACUGCUUCCAAAGGGGAAUAAAGGCAGAGAUGUACAUCCUCAGGAGCCCUGGGCGUAUCCAAUAAACGUGCAGAUAUGUGGGAGAUUUGUUAGGAAUUGUUUCAGCUGUUAUGCCAACAGUGCCUUCUCUCCUGGUUCUGUGUGCUAUAGAUGAGUAAUGUAACAGUUGGCUCUCACUGUUAAGAGGUAGAUAUUAUGUGGAUAUAAAAAUGUAUAGUGAUGUUAUUGUAAUAUAGGCUCCCAUAGUCCUAUUUCCCCUCCCCCUUGCAAUAGCCUUGGUAGUCAGGGCUUUUGGGGAGGGCCGGCUUGUGACCAGGAGGUGUGGCGUAACAACACCUGACCUCCAGUCAAGAGGUAAGAAAGAAAUCUCCACCAGUGGAUGGCAAAACUUUGACAAAACUUUGGCGGGAUGAAGGGUAUAAAAGGCAGAGCAACCAUUUGAUAGAUGAGCUGCUCUAUGUAAUGUUCAUAGAGACUCCCAGUGCUGCAAGUUUUCCUUAUUCAGUCCUUUGUUAAGAUUUAAUAAACCUUUAAAUUUAUAAAAGUGAGGGUUGUGUCUCAGAUGUGCAAUGCUUUGGGCCAUUUUCUUGGUCUGGUUUCCUUAGCUUGGUUCCCAUCUGAGUGCUCAGUUCGGGUACAGGCUGUAGGUGCUUGGUGCACUCCUGGAGUUACUCUUGGAUCCCUUGAACAACAGGGUUUGGCCCACGAGGGGAAUUUGUGCUGCUUUGUGACAGAGGAGAACUUCCCCAGCUAUUUUGCGUUUGCUGUAGGGAAGGUUGGUUAUUGCUCUGCCUAAAUUCACAGGCCAAUAUAGAGUGCUUGCAUUGUGAUGUCAGGGCAUGGUUGCCAUGUGGUCAUGGUGGCAUCAGAAGGUUGUCUUGGUGCACGGAAGGCCUCAGUGUCAGAGCAGCUCUAGGGCUCGCUCAGGGCAGGAGCAUCCUCCUGCUUGAGGCGUUUGUCAGUGGGAGCUGCCCACAGACAAGAGCCUUGAUUUUUCUGAUGGUGGAGCAAAUCUGCACAGCAGUGCUACAAUGAUUGAGAAGGUUGUUGCUGUAGCUAUUGGAGUUUACGGCGUUUGUUAUUCCAGCUAUUACCUCACUAACCUGACACGUCACCUGAUGCAUGUAAUCAGCGGUGCUGGUCCUAAGCUUCCCAGGAGAAGGUUUUGAAAUUUCCCAGCCUUUUUCAGCUUUGUGUCUACUUUCUGGGGCCUUUUUGCACUUUCUAAAGUUUUUUACCUUUUAUAUAUUCCUACAAUUCCCCCACUCUUUUUAAAUAAACUAUUUCUGACUCGUCACUUAUUUAUUACUUUGUGUUAUAUAGCUUCACUACUGCAUAUAUUUAUUCAUUUAGGAAAAAAUUUAUAAACUUUUUAUAUGAAGGUACUUUGUUUUAAGCUCUAUAAUUUUAAGUUAAAGCAUUAUUAAUGUUGGGUAAAGUAAGGUUUAGUAUCUGUAUUAGGUUCUGAUAAAUUUUGGCAUUUUUAAGGUCUCAAUUUCAAGGUUUAAUUUGUGAGUGACUUUAAUUAGUUUUGGUGAGGUUUUGUGCAUUGUUUGUAAUUUUUCUUUUGUAUUUUUCUUUUGGACAAUAAAAACCUUUUUGAUGAGUUUGUAAUUUGUUGUGAAUAAUGAAGUGUAUAAGGAAUUAAUAUUAAUAUUAUAAAAACAAGAUUUUACUUAACUUGUAAAGUUGUUUUGAUUAAGGAGUUAAGCUCUACUUACUGAAUCAAUUGUUUAACUAUGUUUCUUUAUUUUUAAUUGUAGAUGUUAAGUUUUUGUAUGUUUUUGUGAAUGGAUUUAGAAUGAUUAGACAAAUUUAUGUAACACAUUCUUUUGAAUUCUUUACAACUCUGUUUAUGUGUUAGAAAAGGAAAUUAAUGGUUGUUUGAUUUUGGAGUUUGUUGGACACUGCUGACGUCAGUUCGCAUGUUACUGAGUGCACUGGAUGUGGUAUUAGUUUGUUUGUUUAGUUAAUAUUUAAUCUUAUCUAUUUGUCUUAAUGUUGUUUCUGAAGCAAUUGUAGGUAAAAAGAAGCUUGUUGAAAUAUUUUGUGUUUUUUUUAACAGACUGAAAUUACUAUUGUAAUCUUUUGGGUAUAUAUUAAUAGAUCUUUUUUCUUGUCUUUUUUGAAACUGUUUUAGUACUGGGUGUUAUUACAGUGAGUGUGCUAAUGUUACAUGGUUUGUCUUUAGGGUAUGAUGGAAUGUUUUGCUAUGUUUUAUUUCUACAAAUGAACUAAUAACAUUUUGGUAAUUUCUGUGGAUAUUGGUUAACUUUAGAUUUUUAUCUACAGUGUAUGAGUAAUUGCACUAAAAACGUAAAUUUUUAUAUUCAUAGUAAGAGUGAAUAACAUUGUAUUUUGGAGAAUUAUAUUUUUGCUAAUUGUUUCUUGAAAAUGUGACACAGAAA